Long non-coding RNA from Arabidopsis lyrata subsp. lyrata, 891 nucleotides. RefSeq lists it as uncharacterized. Lineage: Eukaryota; Viridiplantae; Streptophyta; Magnoliopsida; Brassicales; Brassicaceae. The record is from RefSeq and is a predicted model, not a curated record. The transcript is spliced from 4 exons.
AGGAUUUAGAACAAUCGUUGUCUUAUAUUCUUAAAAAAAAAAAAAAAAACCAGCGAACAGAGAAUGUUGAACAUCGGUCGAUCGGCGAAUCAUUAGCGAAAUUUACCGAGAAUCUACCUAUUUCGUCUUCGUUUAUACUUUAUGUUAGUGUUAAUUCUCUAUAAAGAGAUUUCAGAUUAUUACAAACAUAAUGAUGUUGCCAAAAGAAGAGGAACUACCAAGAUAAGUUUUCGUCACGAUUAGUAGAAAACAUUCGAACUUAUUCAAAUAUGUAACCCUGCUUAUACAAAGUUCAAUAUCUGCAGGUCUACCAUCAUUUGGGAUUAUAGUUCUUAUGGAGGAGGGAGAUUUGAUAUUGUCUUUGGAGCUUUGCAGAAAUCUAAUAUAAAAGGUUUGAGGUUAGCAAGAUUGGUGAUACCAAGAUUUCUUCCAUUGUUAGAAAUGAGAAACGAAGUAGCAAGAUUGGUUCUUUGCAGCCAAUUUUUAAAAAGGAGUAGCAAAAGAUUAGAAAGCAAGAUCAAGCCGAGGAUUGUCAAGUGACGAAAUCGCCUAAUUCUGUUUCCUUCGGGUCUAGCUCUGAUCCGCGUGUCGAUCCACCAAAGAAGUCCAGGAUCCGCGUCUUAAUCCGAUCCAGUAACCCAUGAUCCGCGGGUUUUUUCAAGUUGUAAUUAUACUUUUACCCUUAAACGAUUAUUUUCAUUUACUCUUUCAAUGUAAUAUUUCUAAUGGCAUCUCUUGUAAUUUUUUACAUUUUAUAAGGUUAGUUUUUAGGGAAUGCUUCCCAAUUAAUAGUAUAGAUGUGUCUAUAAAGUGUAGAAUACUAUAAAUCACAUAGUAUAAAGACAUGUACAUUUGGAUUCGAUAUUGUUAAGAAUAAGGCCCAAUCUGAAA